GGUCGCGGGCGGCAUGCCUUAACAUGCAAGUCGAACGGCAGCACGGGCUUCGGCCUGGUGGCGAGUGGCGAACGGGUGAGUAAUACAUCGGAACGUGCCCCGUUGUGGGGGAUAACCAGUCGAAAGAUUGGCUAAUACCGCAUACGACCUGAGGGUGAAAGCGGGGGACCGCAAGGCCUCGCGCAGCAGGAGCGGCCGAUGUCUGAUUAGCUAGUUGGUGGGGUAAAGGCCCACCAAGGCGACGAUCAGUAGCUGGUCUGAGAGGACGAUCAGCCACACUGGGACUGAGACACGGCCCAGAUUCCUACGGGAGGCAGCAGUGGGGAAUAUUGGACAAUGGGCGCAAGCCUGAUCCAGCCAUGCCGCGUGAGUGAUGAAGGCCUUAGGGUUGUAAAGCUCUUUUACCUGGGAAGAUAAUGACUGUACCAGGAGAAUAAGCCCCGGCUAACUUCGUGCCAGCAGCCGCGGUAAUACGAAGGGUGCAAGCGUUACUCGGAAUUACUGGGCGUAAAGCGUGCGUAGGUGGUUUGUUAAGUCUGUUGUGAAAGCCCCGGGCUCAACCUGGGAAUGGCAAUGGAUACUGGCAAGCUAGAGUGCGGUAGGGGGUAGUGGAAUUCCCGGUGUAGCGGUGAAAUGCGUAGAGAUCGGGAGGAACACCAGUGGCGAAGGCGGCUACCUGGACCAGCACUGACGCUGAGGCACGAAAGCGUGGGGAGCGAACAGGAUUAGAUACCCUGGUAGUCCACGCCGUAAACGAUGAGGACUGGAUGUUGGCAGGGGAACCUGUCAGUAUCGAAGCAAACGCGAUAAGUCUUCCACCUGGGGAGUACGGCCGCAAGGUUGAAACUCAAAUGAAUUGACGGGGGCCCGCACAAGCGGUGGAGCAUGUGGUUUAAUUCGAUGCAACGCGAAGAACCUUACCUGCUCUUGACGUCCUGCGACCCCGGGAGAGACCCUGGGGUGCCGAAAGAACGCAAAGACAGGUGCUGCAUGCUGUCUUCAGCUCGUGGUGGUGAGGGGUGGGGUUAAGUCCCGCAACGAGCGCAACCCCCCAUCAUUAGUUCGCCUCCAGUCCAUG
RNAcentral lists this ribosomal RNA (1078 nucleotides) under uncultured bacterium. RNAcentral describes it as "bacterial SSU rRNA". It matches the Rfam family "Bacterial small subunit ribosomal RNA", at positions 31 to 1132 of the family's 1533-position model. The record is from RNAcentral.